UCCCUGCUAGCUCAACUGGUUGAGAAUCUGCCUUCAGUGCAGGAGACCCCGGUUCAAUUCCUGGGUCAGGAG
RNAcentral lists this transfer RNA (72 nucleotides) under Bos taurus (domestic cattle). It matches the Rfam family "tRNA". Rfam says of the family: Transfer RNA (tRNA) molecules are approximately 80 nucleotides in length. Their secondary structure includes four short double-helical elements and three loops (D, anti-codon, and T loops). Lineage: Eukaryota; Metazoa; Chordata; Mammalia; Artiodactyla; Bovidae. The record is from Rfam by way of RNAcentral. RNAcentral also lists the same sequence under 3 other names.